This 40849-nucleotide long non-coding RNA is filed under the name Cinara cedri. Lineage: Eukaryota; Metazoa; Arthropoda; Insecta; Hemiptera; Aphididae. The record is from RNAcentral.
UUCACAGCGAAUAAAACGAUGAAACGGACGGAGGUAUAAUUGACCGGUGUUCAAAACUCAAACUAUACAUAUAUAUAUAUAAUUUUUUUGUUUUGAAAAUUACGGUCGUAUAAUUCAAAAGAUUUAAACCGUACAUUUUCAGAAAUAUUUUUAUUAUAAAUUAAUAUAUAUGUAUAUAAUUUAUACAUUUCUGUUUUACAUUAUUUUCCGUUGUUUUAUAGAAUAAUAUGGGAACACUAUUCGGCGUACACAAUCGGAUUCACAUCGCGACGGGAAUGUUGUUGUCCAGCUACUUGAUAAUGGCUCGAACGUCUUCUGUACGAAACGGUCAGUAAAAAAAAAAAAAAAAAAAAAAAUUAUUAUAUCUUAUCCAAUUGUUUACUGAAAUAAAAUUUAUUAAUCUGCUGUACAGAGACUCGAUGACUAUAGAUUCCGUUCAGUGUAGUAUUUUAUAGGUUAGACAAUAAUAUUGUUUACGAAAGAGGACAGCGAUAGACAGUUAACUUAGGGGGAAGGGCCUGUAGGAAGACGUCCUCGGCUCGGUGAAACAAAGUUUAAUUUUAGUACUAAAAACGCACGUGUAAAAUUAGUUUAAUUGAAUUUAAUUAUGAGAAUUUAAGUAAAAUCGAGAAUAGGAAUAUAGGAGGAAUAGGUAUAGUCACAGAUACAUACAAUAAACUAGAUAGCAAACUGCCACGUCAUAUUGACGGUUUUGAUUGAAGUUACAUGGCAAUCAUUUAAUUCAGGGCCAAUGGUCCUAUGGUAUAUUUUUAUACGGCGAUAACUGUUGAAUCCAUAUUUUUUAUCAUUCUUACCGCGUCGACCAAGACCGUAAUUGUUAACACAAUAGUUAUCACAAUGUGGAUCGUUCUCGAAUUAAAUGACGAAUUGAAACUUAUCACCGGUUAAAAAUCUAGUUUAUUGUAUAUUUUUGAGCCCAUAUUAUUGAUAAUAAUUAUUGCGAUCGUACUGAGUUUUGAGAAUGAACUAUACCGAACAGAAUAUAAAAUGUAAACCGAUGACUGUCCGUAGGUAUACGAAUUGAAACGAAAAAAAUAACUAUCAGCUUUUGCUACUAUAUUUUGUGGUUUUUAAACGCGAAUUCCGGGGCUGUUUGUGGAAAAAGAUCAUUAUUUGUAAGAAAUAAAUCAAUAAAACAACCGUCACAUUACAUCAGGCAUGGCGGUAAUCUCAAAUUCACUGUAAACUCGUGAAUGAAUUUAAGAAGUUUACACAAAUUUUAGCUACGAGCUAUAUAAAACGAUGCAAGCACUAAUAUUUGAAAUCGAAUCCCCGGUUAAACGCGGUCUUAAUAUAUGUAUACGUAUAAUAUAUAUUCAAAGACUCGAUUAAAAGAAUAUUUGACGUGAGUUGUAAGUUUUCCCCGGUAAGUCUGAUCAAAUCUUACUCGGUAUUUAUAAUAAUAAAAGAUUAUCGAGGAAAAAAAUGAAACCGCUAAAAAGUUAUUAAUAUAGGUACGCAAUUACAAAGUUAUCGACAGCAACAAACAUUAUACGGUAUGACGUUAAAUAUAUAAUACGAAAAUCGAAGGUUUUUUUUUUUAAAUUCGAGUCGACUAUUAAAAAUAUAGUUAUAAUAAGUAAUGAAAUAUCCGUUCAUGGUGGUGGAAAUACCGUCUAUUCCGAUCACAUCAGAUUUGCGGUAAAAACAUACUAUCGUAAUUAUAUAACACUGCAAUACAAUUUUAAAUCGAUAUCUAACACUGCAAUACGCCCAUCUUGACAAACUGUAUGUAUAAAUAUAAUAUAGUAAGUCGUUAUAAAAAUACUAUGGACAGGUACUCGGCGUAUUAAAAAAUAUAGGUAUACUUUGAUGAAAAAUGGCGGUAAUAAAUAUUGUAUCACGUACAAAAUUAGUUUUCCGAUCAUUUUACAAAUCACAAACCAAAAAAAAAAAAAAAAUAUAAUAAUGAUGAUAAUUAUAGGUGGACACAAAAUAAUAACAAUCUAAUAUUUACUGGUAUAUUAUAUAUUGUCAUAUAAAUAGUAUAAUAUCUUUAUACUCUAUUUGUGUCUGUCUACUCGUAUGCCGAAGAACAAUGUAUUUUUUUCCCCAAUUUUUUAUAUUUAAUCUCAUUAAAAGCUGUAUAAUUUUUUAUUCGCGAUUUACCGUAGUUUCAUAAUCGGAAAUGAAAUAUCGGGAACUUCCCCCUCCCUUUUGAACAAAUAUUUAAAAAGAAAAUAUUUUUUUCAAAAGGGGGGCCCCCUUUUUCCUCUAUUUCCUAUUUGAGAAUCAAAAUUAUAUACUUAUUUAAAGUACACGGAGUAGGAGAAAACUUAAAAAUGGCUUUAAAAUUCCAUAAUGAUCAGAAAUAUCAGAAAUCAAAUUCACUUAAAAUCCCCUGAGAUAAUUCCUAGUUAAUGAUAAAAAAAUCACUCUGUAUACUACAUUAUUUAAAUUAUACAAAUCUUUCGAGCGCCACAUCGUUCUCUGAACAUACACACGGCUUUUCCACCAACCACCCGAAUCCGGGAAUUUAGACCGUUCAAAUUCAGCGGAAAUAGUGUUGGAAGUCAGGUACCAAGUAAAUUAGUAGUAGAACAAUCGCCUGGCAAGCGAUAGUCUCGGGUUCGAUUUAGCACUGUUUUCCGGACGAGAACGGCCGCGUCAAAUGGCUUUCCGGCAGCAAAUCGAACCCCGAUUAUAACUGCGUACACUUAUCCUCAUAUUACUGAGUGUAUAUUACAAAUAUAGUUUUAACAUAUAUGAAAAGUGAAUUUUUAUUUUUUAUUUUUUUUUAACUCCCGUACCUAGUUUCUUGAAGUGCUUCUGUAAGCAAAUAUUAAACAAAUUACCCAAAAUAACCAACCAAAAUAUUUCAAAUACAUGAACAUAUUUCUAGUACUAAACAAUUAAUAGUAUAGAAACGUUUUUUACCGCACCACCGGGUAUAAACUCUAAAUAUACUUUAAAUAAUAUACAGUUUUUAAAUAAUAAACACUAGAAAAUUAAUUUUAAUUUUCUAAAGUAAUUUUUAUAGACAAAAUUUGCAACAAUGAAAAAAAAAAAAAAAUCAAAACUAUACUCUUUUUUUGUUUAGACCAAUUCAACGGAUUUUGUUUAUUUACAAUUGUCUUAGAUUUUCGAUAACGUUUGUAUACUACCGAAAUUAUGUUAGGGACUGAGAGAUGGGGUCUCGGAAUCGGUCUUUUACUAGAGUUAAUUACGUGGGUGGUUUUUACUAAAUUUGUACAAGUAGUAUCAGUCAAUUUAUUAAAACAGUAAAAUAUAUCGCGUUUUAUUAAGUGGAAACCCACCCUGUCCCCCCGAUGAGGAUAAACGAGUCAAUAAUCUUAAAAUCCGUAUUAAAAUAUCAAUCGGGGGGAAAAAAAAAAACUCGUUCGCGUUAAAUGCCUCGAUUUUUUUCGGCCGUAGCCGUGAUGUUAUUCAUUAUUGCGGUGUAUACCGUACUUAUGGACCAACACGAACCAGGAUAACACGAAUAAUAAUAAAAUAAGCGGGAAAAAAACAAUUUUAAUGCGUGGUGUAUAACAAAGUGUUUGUUCGCGCUGUGCCGUCGGUCGUUAUACCACUACGUUUUCUUUGUUCGCUGCAGUGUUAUUAUUAGUUCUCGGUCAACAACAACAGUGGCCCUAAAUAAUAUCGUCUGGCUUGGGUUUGUCUUCCGACUAAAAUACAAGGGAAGCACACCAGCUAUACAUUUACGGUGCCUCGAAUUUAUAUAACAACGCGAAAAUAGCGCGUUUCACAUUAAGUAUACAGCGGUGUGUCCGAAUUACAUAAAAUUGCCGUCGUUGGUUUUUGAAUAUAAAUUGCAGUCUUGUCUGAGCACAAUAUAUUUACACCGCGAAUUUCUCGGAGUAUUAUACUAUUAUACAUUUAUAUACCUACUAUCUGUAUCAGAAGGUUUUAAAUCCAAUAGUUUCUACACGUAUAGGUGUGGUUCAUUAGAUCGUGCGUUUUACAACAGAUUUUUAGAAACACAAACGGUGUCGGGCGAGAACAAAACACUGUUGAUUAUCCGCGGUCCGGCCGCAUAUAUAUUAUUUAUAAUACAAUAUGCGAAUUGAGAUUCAUGCUGGCCUACGGGCGCCGCUGAGAAUCCAAUAGUUUGGGCAACACGUGACGAGGAAACCGGAACGAGAGUGCCCAAAGGUGACCGUCGAGUGAAACAAUAGUGUUGUAUUAACUGCAAGUAGUGAAAUAUCGGAAUUAAGACGAGAAAUAAUUGCUAGAGUUGUUGUGUAAUAUUUACGAUAUGGUAUAUUAGUUAAUAUUCUUGUUACCUAUAAUUAGCUUUACUAAUGGUGACUCAUUUUAAUAAUACCAUCUUGUUUACAUAAUAUUAUUUGCGUUCGCUAUCCAUUAUGCGUGAUUUUUUUUUUUGUAUUUUUUUUAUUGUCCCGUAAUCGACCCUACGCGGGAUUUCGUUACGCUGCAAGCCAAGGGGACGGACGUCCUCGAUUUGCGAUGCGUACGACGACCGAGUGCCAAAACACGCGAAUCCACUUAAGUUGAAAUUGAAAUUCCGUAAAUUUUGAAAAUUCGCAAACAACGAGAACGGCAAAGCGCUAAGACGAUUUUAUGAUUAUUAUUGUUAUUUUUUUUUUUGUCAUCGAUUUUCGUAAUUCGGAGUAUAUAUUAUAACUAGUAAGUGACUUCGCGUGUUUACACCGCUUCUCGAUUGGCGUUAUUACUGAAUAUUAAAUAAACAUUUCUCUCGUCCACUUGCCGCAGUGAAACGAAAAAAAACAGAACAGAAUAUUAUAUGUAAAACGGAUUAAUACUACUACAGAGUGAACUAAGAUCAUGUUUAAGAAAAAACCGUCGGAGGGUGGAUGGAUUCAGUUUUUUUUUAAGUAAUAAUCAUUAUUAAGUGAUGGAAUUUUCACAAAUAUUACCAUUUGUUUUACUUUUGAACGGUUCUCGAUAAGAAGAGCCUUGAGGUAAAUAAUGUUUAUUGAUAUUACUUAACAAGCGGUCACAGUCGAGUCAUAUAUUAUUAUUAUCUAGUCAAGACGAUAACUAUAUCCGAAAUAUCCGAAUAAAAUUCGCGAACAAAUAAUUUCGAAAACUAUGCGUAUUGUUUCUAAAAAAAAAAAAAGAACACGCUCUACUGUUUUUCUAAAUACUCGUAUUAUAUCGUAAAUAUAUUUUACGGAAAUCUUUUCAAAAGAUUUUUUUUCUUUUUAAUAAAACUGAUCUCCUUAAAAUAAUACCACGCGAUACUAAAAGCUAUAUAAAAAAAAAAAAAACUAAAACUGAAAAUAUAUACGGCUGCUGUUGUAGGUUGAUAGCGGGGAAGGUGGGAUACAUAAAGUUAUUUAAUUUAUACUUGUAACCAACGAUAAACCAUAGCUAACGAAAAACGAUUCGGAGCUAAGUUUGGUUAUACACGUUAUGGAAUGCUUUAAUAUUUAUGAUUUUCGUUAAAAUUUGAUUUAAAAACUCUAAAAGAAGGAAUUUCUUGAAUAAACCCAUAUAAAUAUUUGUGUUUUUCAUAAAUUAUAUGAUAAUAUAACAAAUCCUAUUUUAAAUUAAACACAAAUCGUUUCUACAGGAUGAACAAUAUAACAUAAGACACUCAUUUUCUCGGAAAGUCUGAUUUUUUUUUUUGAAAUAAACUUUUUGAACCAUUUAAGAAACUAGUAACUCGAAAAGGUUACUUUUCUCUUUUUUUUGUCACCCUAAUUUUGGGGAGUGAAAUCGAUUUUGACUACUUUUGAUUUUCAUAUAGAAACCUGUAUUAAAAGUUUAAUUAACAGAUAGGAGCAUUAGUUUAAAUCAAUUUCGGUGAUAACAUUUUUAAUUUACAUUUCGACCAUCUAAAGAGAUAUUUGACAUUUUAGUUUUUUUGGGGAGGGAGGGUGAGGGGAGAAGAGUGAUGUUUCAUUUGUGUGGUGUCACAGCAUUUUAAUAGUGUUAAUAGUUGAUGGAAAUUAAAAACUUCAACUCCGAAAUUGGUUUAAACUAAUACUCCCUCUAUUUAUCAUUUUUUUUAUUUUAGAUUGUCGUUUGAAAAUCAAUUGUAGGUAAUGGUUACAAUCUAAAAAAUACCGAGGACAAUAAAAAAAAAGUAACGUAUUUUAUUAGAGCUAAUAUUUUUUUUAAUUUUCUGGGAAUCGAAUUUUGAAAGAAGUUAAUACUUUUUGAGACAAUGAGUGUCCUACAUUAUCUUGAUCACCCUGCGUAUACUAUCAAUAAAUGUAUAGCAUUUGAAAAAAUAUUUUACGGUUUUAAUAUUGUUUCAUUAAUACGGUUUGUCCUAUUAUAGAUAUGGCCGCUGACUUUAUACCUAUAGGUCUUAUGACACUCUUUCGUAUAAUAGCACCGAAUUGAUCAUAAUAAUUAGAAAAAAAUUGAUAAUGCUCACGGGUAGAUCAGUAUUGUUGGGAAGAUAAAAUAUAGGUAAAGAGUAAUUGUAUUUGGCUUAUAAUUUAUUGUCCACUGUAUAUACGACGAUAUAUCUUUUCAAACGAAAAACCGAUCGUGAGCGGUGUAAUAUUUUUGGCGUUAAAUUUCCCUAUUGCCAAAGUAAUCCAGAAGUCAACAAAAAGCAAGCAAUAACAACAAAAACAACAGAAGAACCCAGGGUUCGAACCAAAGAAAACGUCAGAAAAUAACGUAGGUAUCAGUGAACUGAAACUUAUUCGAAAAGUUAUUCAAAUAAAGUAUUAUCAAAAGAAAAAUCCGCAUAGUUAACGGUAUAACGUGGACAAAUCGGAAUAUUUUUACUGACCGUAAAAAUGUAUUCCAAAGGAAAAAUAGAUACAUAUUUGUGAAACUAUUAUAGCUUCUUCGUUGUAUUCAGAAUUUAAUAACGGACAAAUAUCGAUUUUUAUAAAAGCCAUAAAAUAUCAUCGAUCCUAUUAGUAAUAUUAUUAUCAAUCUAUAAUACGUUUUGUAUGUGAUUUCAUUAUAAGAUUAACAAUAAUCCUGCGUACGCUUUCGAGCGAAAAUUAUAUGUAUAUAAACAGCGCGUAAUACUUAUUUUUGUGAUAACGAAAUUAUUGUUACCGAGAAAAAGAGAAAAAAAAAAAAGUAAUCCGAAAACUUUUAUUUUGGCACGUUACUAACUAAAAAUUAAAACCGAUAAGCUUGCGCGAAGAAAACGGCAAAAGCCGUUAUAAAGUUUCGUCGCAAUACUUAAAAUAAAUUAUUAUUAUCACCGGCGCUGUAUUUCAAGUGGGGAAUAACGCGCGAGUUUCAUUUUAACGGUUUACGGGUAUAUUUGGUUAUUGGAUUGUCAAAAGAGAUUUACUUCUUCGGGUAUUAUUAAUAUUCCCCCCUCACAUCACCCCCACCCCCCGCCAAUAAUUUAUUUACUAUUAUUCAAAAUAAAGUUUUUAAUAUCGACAAUAUUGCCGUAUUGGAUAUAUUAUGCCGGUACCUAGUUUCGCUAUCGGAGAAUAUUGUAACAUGCGUAUCAAGUACAAGCACGGCGGACGAGAUCAAAUUAUUCGCGACGUUAUAGCGGACAUUAUAGUUAUAGAUCAAGCAGAUGCAUUAUAAUUGUUUUCUUUCAACGGUUUACUUAAUAAACCAGUAAACGGACAGUUUCCGAGAAGAUUUCAAAGAUAAAUAAAAAAAAAAAAUUGCCGAUUGUAGACCCGAACUGAACGUCGUUCUUUUGUACGGUUGGAUAGACAAAUAAUAAUAUUUAAAUUUUUUUUUAUAUAAUGAUACUAUUAUUGCCAUUUUUCCAAAUAUAUUUGAUCGCCGCUGUUGAAGAAUUAAAAAUAAAAAUUAAAAAAAAAAAAAAAAAAAAAAAAAAAAAAAAAUGUUGCUUCGUAGCGGGGGGAAUACGCGAUAUUAUUUUCUUACAUAAAAGUAAUUUAAUGAAAAACACGGCGUUUCGCGUCGGAUUAAUUUUUAAAAGCAUUAACCAAAUUUUAAAAUGAUUAAAAAACGAACAUUUGUAAUUCAAAGAUACCCUAUACAUCUCCAUUGUUUCGUGACCUUAAUACGUAAUUCAUUUACACGUAGAGAGCAAAUUAUUUAUGAAUCCGUUUCAAUUAGUUAUCGUUUAGAAUUAUUUAUACGACAAGGUAUUAUAAAUUUACUAUUAUUUCGCGUGUUAAGAAGUAUUUUUAUUUCAUUAACUGUCUCAAUCUUUAUUUUAAACGCCCAAUACAUUCUGUAUAGCUUAUUACAACGCACGAAAAUGAGUGUAGUGAUAAUAUUAGGUGAGUAAUAUAAAUGUGUGUACACGAUGAAUAUAUAGGUGCCGUAGUCCCCAUUGACAAUAUUGAUCCAGGGUUCAGGCCCCGAAGGUUUUACUGAUAAAAAAUACCUUUUACGCUAACGGUAAUAUACGAUACUUAUUCUCAACACUAAAAUACUAAAGUUCCCCGAAAUAAAUUCAAAAUGUCGAUAAAAAUAUUAUUGUAAUUUGAUAAAAUUGAGUAUAGGUUAUCGAGGUUUCACGUGGUUUUUAGCAUAUGCCGGUGAUAUAUAGUGUAUGUCGGUGAUAAAUGAUAACAUAUGAAUAUUAUGUUAAAUUUUACAUGUGUUAUAAACAAAUUAAAUUGUUAUCGAUUAACAAAAAAUCGAUUCAAAGUAAAUAGUUUUUUCUUAUUGUGUUUUUCCAAAAAUCUUAAAAAUUAAAAAAAGCUCAACAAUUUAAAAAAAUAAUAAGAUAUCCCCGGAAGAAAUUUUAAAAACAUUGUGUCUAUGACAAUGACUCUGUUUGAACUCAUACCUCUAAUACGGUAGCCCCGAUCACGCGUACUUACAGAUCCUGACCCAGUUCGGUUUAAGUGGUGUGUAAAUACGCAACCCACCGUGGUUUUUAAUCGACUAGGGCUAAGAUUUUAAGUUCACACUUAGGGCUAGGGGUAACAGAGAAAUACACCGGUUUUUGUCUGAUUCCGGAAAAAAAAUAAAAAUAAUUAUAAUAAUAAUUCAAACUUAAAAUGUAGGUAAAUUUAGCCUGCCUAUUUCUAUACAUUCAUUUAGGAAAUACCACAAAACAGUAUUUUAUUUAUUGAAAAUCAGAUAAACCAGUUAAAUAAAAGUAAAAUUACAAAAUUAGAAUUUGUCAAGAGUUUAUCAAAAAAAAAAACAUAAACCUAAUUUUCAAAUGUUAUUUUGUAUAGAUUUAUGUUAAUAUUUGUAUUAUUUAUUUCGCUAUAUUAUUAUUGAUUGUAUUAACUUUCUUUUCGAUUAUACGCAUAUUGCAUACUUUGUUAUAUUAUUGACCUUAGAUUCCAUUUAACAUACAUAUAUUUUUUUACUAUAUUACUAAUUGCAUUCAGAAAAUAAAUUGUUAUUUAUUCUUAAUUUGAUAGGUGUUUUUUAACCUUUGGUUGGAAUACACGAAUUGCAUCUCAUUUAUCCCGUCUUUAUGGGACGUUACUCGUACGCUUCCAAGUAGUCUUCCGUUUCUCCAAGCCGAUACGGAUACCAGUACUUCUUUUUUGUCUUGUGCAAAUAAUUAAUAAAAAAAAACAAAUAAAUUAAAUUACAAGUUCAUUAAUUUUGUAGAUCCUGUUAGAUCUAUAAAUUCUGUUCGUAUAAACAAAAAAGAAGAAUUAAUCUUACAAUUAAUCAGAAAAAUCAGUUUAUGGCUUCUACAAGAAGUUUGAUUUCUUAACUAUUAGCUAAAUAAGUCUAAAAUCUCUUUCUAUUUUUUUUUCUCUUUUCUGACUGUAUGUUAUGUUAUUUUUAAAUGUAGCUCUCUAUUUCCAACACAAGAUUUCCUUAUAGGAAGUAAAUACGACAAUUACUGUACUGUCGAAUUACAGACAACGGUUUAUUAAAAAAACAAAACUCAUAUUUAUUAAGGUAAAAAAAUAAUUAAAAUCAUACAUGAAACCAUGCAAAAAAAAAAAAAAAUUAAACGAAACUGAUCGAUAGUUUAUCAGUUCCUUCAGUUCCUUAAUAACCGAUUGAAUCAGUGAACACAGAACCGGAACAAAUUCAUUUCCAUUUAGGACAUAUAGGGGCAGUGAAUUAUUAUCUAGAAGUUUGGACAAACAGGUAGAUUUAGUUUUUUCAUUUCUAAUCUCCAUUAUCUAAAUCCGAGUUCAUGACUUGUCAUCGAUUAACUAGUAGGAUUUAGGUUUACACGUAUGACGCCAACUUGGAUAGUCUAUUUUUUUUUUCAAAUCCGCAGAGGGGAUGUUAAUAUGCUCCAUAGCUCAAGUCGUUUAAUCUGAAUAGUUUUAUAUUUUACAAGUUGACGAAAAUAUAAUUAGCGGAAAUAUGGCCUUAUUUGGACUUUGAUCCAGAGUUGAAUAUAUCACGGAUAUAUAUAUAUAAAUAUAUAUUGGCACUCCUAAGAAGAUUGAAAGCCGGCGAAAAUUAUACAAUUUUCCGACGGUCCUUGCAGUCCGGAAUUGAACGGGUCGAGCUGUUAAAAAGCUGGUCGCACGAGUUUUGAUAUUCAAUCGUUGUUUUCAAAAAAAUUGUAUUUCAUGUGUCUAUUCUACGUCCGUGUAACCCCAGUGUUGAGAACCACUGGUUAAAAUGACACGUUAACGGCAUGCGUGUUAUUAUAUUUUUAACCGGAACACGAAAAUAAUUACACGAAAAUUCAAAAAUCGUAUUUUAUAGUACCGCAGGAAUAUUAAAACAACGCGUAUAAUAUUCGGAGCAGCCGACAAAACCGAUAAAAACGCAAUUUGACACUGUGCACAAUUUACGCUGUGAAAAAGUAACUAGUCGACGCGAUAAUGUACGCGAUAUAUGCGGACCGAUCCCAAUCGUUAUUUUCGUGUUCGCGGUCGGUUCGACGAUAUUUAUGGGUCAGUAAACACCAGCAAGUAUUCUCGUAUUCAACUCUGUUCAACGAUCGUCCCUACAUAUAAUAAUAUUGUAUGAAAAAAAAAAAAACAUAUAUGGACCGCGAGGAUGCGAGUUUAUUAUGUUUUUCGCGUUAUUCACGAGUAUUUAUUCGUAUACGAUUUUUUCACAAUACGUUCCUGUUUUUGUGCCCGGAUAUGAGUCUUUAAUAUGCAUACGUUUUACUAUAAUAUUAUAGUCAUUGGUGAGGUUAAACCGAACAAAUACGCUUAAAAUUGUUAACAAUACGGGAGAGGGGGAUGAGCUUUAUAUUUUAUUGGUAGAAAUUGUAUUAUUCUUCCUCGUCCGAUAUGUAUUGUGCGUUAUAACGGUCCGUACGAACAAACGGGAGCGAUUUUAUGUCUGGCGGGAAAAUUACCACUUUAGUGAACGUUCGCAAAACAAAAAAAAAUUAUAUCUUAUAGCCGUACGAAAUCCUAAAGUACGCAAAACACAUUUUUUACGAAACGCAUGUUAUUACAUAGAAAAAAGCUACACAGAGACAAGAAAAUUUGAUAUUAUUUAUAUGUUUAAUGCGCGCGAUUCAAAAAUAAAGUUUUAAAAAGAAAUUUACGUAAAUUCGAUAAAUGUAUCCAUAUCACAACAGUUAGAGCAGAUGUUAUGUGUAUACUUGUAUGCGUAUGAUUUUACAUAUUUUUGCGUGGUUGAUCAGAAAACAACUACAGUUUUUAUCCAAACGUGUUUCAUCACCAAUCAAUACAAUAUGUAACAUUUUAUUUUAUUUUCUUCCCGGGUUUCGCAAUUUGUAGAGGACAUUUUUAAUUCACUAAUGUUUUCUUUUUUUUAUUAAUCAAUAUAGCGAGAGUUACCAUACGAUAUUAAACAAGUUUAAUAAAUAUGAGAAGGUAAGACGAUAACAUCAGUAUAUGAUAUAAAGUUGUAGAUAAAAAUUUAUUUGUUUCGCUUAAAUGCAUUGUAAUUGGUAUUAAAAUGUAUCGUCAACAAUAAAUUUUUUUUUUAUUGUUUUUAAGUUUUUCAAGCUAUAAAAAAUACGGAACAUUUUUGUUCUCGGGCUGAAAAAAUAUUAAUUGUACAAUAAAAUAAAAUAUUAUAAUUUUAAUUUUUUUUUUUUCUUGUGAAGGUAUAUUUUAUUAGAACAUAUUACGGUGUUUUUUAAGUGCUGAAUAAAUGUAGCAAGCAUAUUUCGAAUGUCUAAUAUCAGGUGGCAUAAUAUUAUACAAAACCGAUAACUGGCUAUCUCGGUGUCGUAUAAUUAAAAUUAAAUUAUUUUUAUCAAAAACAUCGUUAUUGCAUUGAUAACUUGUUGAGCUUUUUUCAGUUUUUAUAAAAUCAUUUACCCAAUAAUAAUUUUGUUAUAGCGAAUAAUCGUAAUAUUUUCUUAGUACUGUGACAUAAAUUAGUGCUGUUACUGUAAGAGUACUUUUUGUUAUAUUGUUUUUCAAAAAUUUACUAUAAUAUAUCACCAGUAUCAUCAGUCGCGUCUUCAUUAGAUUAGUUGGGUGAAAAUAUGAUAUUUAAUUAUAAACUAUACCUAAUAAUACCUACUGAGGCCGAGGCGAUUUAGGAGUCAAUUAAAUCCCCUCAAUGUUUACGAUUAUUUAACACGUUUGCUGCGUAUUACGCCAAUUUCGGCGUCAAAUACAUCGUUUGCAUAUACUGAAUGACGCCAAUCGGCGUUAUGUACCUACCUUGUUAUUUAUUGCACUAAAAUUUGGUCAACGUUAUGAUUAAACUUUUCAUACUUUGUUAGCGUUAUCUAUUAGCACUAUUUCAUAAACACAUGAAAGUCGCGCAUUGAUAUUUUAAAUAUUACAUUUUCAAGAAUUUUUUUUAAAAACCUCGAUUUUUUCAACGUCACAACAAGCAUACUGAAAUAUAAUACACUGCGAACGUGUUAAGUAUAAAUACUUUUGUAUGGUAAAACCAAGCAAAAUCGAUUGGAACUUUUCAGCCUCCUUGAUAUUUUUUCCCCUUUUGGUUUCAUUAUGCGUUUUCAAACAACUUUAAUCAAACGUCUGACUACGGUGUGACAACUAAACUAAUUUUCUAUUUAUAGGGAAAUGAAAUUGAAUCAUCACGUUAAAUAUUUGAUGCGAAUAAAAUAUGUAUAUAUACUGAUAACCAAAAUAUUGGUUAUAAUGAUCCGUAUUUAUCAUUAUAGCAGGAGCACACUGUCGGGCACAUAUUAAAAUAAUGCCCACUAACGACAUGCACAGGAGGUAUUUGGGAAAUCCACACCCGGCCGGCGCAGAUGCCAUCGAAUGGAUGGAAAACUUAGGUGUGCGACUAUGACCCGAUUCGUAUCAAAUCGAAGAAGAACUACAAGUUACCGAACUUAUUUUUCCUCUUAUUUUUAGUGUUUGUCUUGGUCUUGGUUUCGUACAAGUUUUAUUUCGUCCUAGUCCUAGUGCAUUCGUAUUACCGACAUUGUUUCAAUCAACCUUUUAAAAAAUACUUUUAUUCCGCUUUUCGUUUUGCUGGAGCCGUACGCCAAUGAUACCGUAAAUAACUAAUGCACGGAUAGGAAACGAUGACAAUUCACCGUUGUGCCAAAGCGGACGGUUCGUUAAUCGUAAUUUUACGGGACCGCGCCGAUCGAAACGACGGAAUUCACGGACGGGUGUUACGCGACCCGGCAUAAGACAUGUUCGGGGCAUAGCGUUAUAAUUGACCGCGUAUUUCUGACGUAACGAUAUAAUAAUUAUUACUAGGCGUGUCGCACAAUCAACAAUGCGUUUGAGCGCGGGUGUAAUUUAAUCUCCCGCGGGAGUUAUUGCGUUGUUCGGUACUCCAGGUGUGCCGCAGCAAUCCGCUUUCGGAGGUGGGGGACGAUUUCGCGCGACCAAUCGGCAUCGCCGCGUAUAUUUAUAGCACGGCCGCAAUUAUUAUCCCCGAGGAAACGAUUCCGGACACGUUCAAACCUCAUUCUAUCGCGAGUCAUGUGCGGGGCCGCGCGGCGGAUUCCCGUCCGACUGCGCCACGUAAUGGUUAAGUGCACCGUCGGCGAGUGGGUAGCGGGUGGCCGGUGGGCGCCUAUAAUAACAACGCGGACACGGAGAUCCGAAUCGCGACUCGAACUAACCUAGUCAUCGUAGCUCUCCGCCGGGGCGGUUUUCGUUCGACGCGGUGUAUUAUUCAUGAAAAUUCUCCCGAGGACGACGACGGCGAUGACGCCGACGUGUUUAUGUGUACGCGCGCGUGUGUGUGUGUGUGUGUGUGUGUGGGUUUAUCGGCACGAGGCGAUGAAGAACGUUAUUAAUCUUAUUUCGGCCGUUUACUCUCUGUCGUCAUCGGAUCGUUAAAAACUGUUCGCGUAUAGCCGGUAUUGUAUAGGUAUAUUAGACCAUCAGCAUCCCGACUGAGGCGACUCGAAUACAGUUUUGGAGGUUUACUGAACCAUAAAAACGGAGAAGAGGGUUAGGAGGGUUGGCGCUGGGCCGGAUUACGACCGUAGUUUAAGGCGGGUUAUAUACCCAUGUCGAAGCCUUUUUACCCAAAAACGAUUUUUUUUUUUUAAAUUUAUGAAUUUUUAUUCAGUGUAAAUUUUAUUUUAGUAUUGACUGCUGUCGACGUAUCAUAUAAGUAUAAUAUUAUUAAAUUAUAUCGAUACGGGUUACUCGUACAUUUACUUACAUAAAAAAAGAAGUUCAAGGAAUCGGUCGAGUUUCUUCUUUGCAGACGUUUGCUUAGAAUCAGUUUUCAAAAGCGAUUGUGUUGAAAAAAAAAAUAAUUAUACCUAACCAAAUGCCAAUAAAGUAACGCUUCUACAACCCCAGCGUGAUAUUAAAUUCAACACCUUUCCAGAAAGGUUUAUAACAAUCAUCUAUAAAUUUACUUAAAGUUGUAUAAGAGUUAAACGUAAAAUAAAAAAAAAUAUUGGCGUUAUUAAGUUAUGCGGUUUUUACUGUUUUUAAAGUAAAUACCAAUAACCAUAGUAUAAAAGAACUGAUAACGAUAUAGAUAUGAGAAGACAAAGAAAAUCGUGUUAUUAUAUCUUUCCCUUUUAGAGAAUAAACCUAAAGAAAAAGUUGCUAUAUUACAUUAUUUUCGUCUGACACGUUAGGUAUGGCAAACAUAUUGCAACAUCGAUGAGUAAAAAAAACAAAAAAAAAAAAACAAAAACAAAAAAAAAACCUAUUUUAUACGUAUUUCGUCUUCUUACUGAAAAGUUUUGUCAAGACACCAUUAUAAUGAUAUAGAUUAAAAAAAAAAAAAUUGACCAACUGAAAAAAACCAUGUUUAAUCGCUUUAUUUCAUUCUUAAUUAAAUACAAUAAAAUAAAUCAAAGUGAUAAAAUUCUUGAUUUUUCUCAAAAUUGAAUAAAAUCUAAAUUUUAAAUUUAAAAAUGAACGUAUUUUAAAACAUGAAAACAAAGAUUUUUUAUCAAAAUUUAGAUUUAAAGUCUUAUAAAAUAAUAACAUCUACAUAACGUUAAUAAUUUUAUAUAACUUAAAAGUAAUAAUAAAUCUCGUGUUAUAUUUUCAAACAUUUUGGGCGAACAAUGUUAAUCUCCAAAAUCGAAAAAAAAAUGCGCAAUUUAAUCUACAUAAAACUAAAUUCAAACUAAAAAAACUUGAACAUUUUAAAUUCUUAUAAAUAGAUUAAAAAUCGUCAAGAUGCAAAAAAAAUGUAUAAGUGCGUGCGCGGGUAUGAUGUCUAGGACAAUUUUUAACAAAAUUAUAAAAAAAAUAAAAAAAAAUAAGCGGAACCUUUUUACGCCAUAAACUUCAUGUUUCCCAAGUUUUUUCUAGAUUUUCUCGAUAAUUAAGGAAUUUUUGAUAAAAAUUAACAAAUUACAAAUUAGAUAUGUUUUACUGAAAACGCUUCCCUUGAAAUCCAUAGUAAUAUUUUAGUAGAAAAUUUGUUGAACAACGGAAACAAAAUAGAAGUAGGUAUUCAUACUAUAUAAUGUAUUCAUUGAUACAGUCUAUACUGCACUCAGAAUUUAAAUUUAAAACGUGUCAAUAUUUUAAUAUCGUUGACUAUUUAUCACGAUUUCAAAAUUUUCCAAUUUUGAUAAAAUAUUAUACAUUGCACACAAUCAAUAACUUAUAAAUUAAAUGGAAAACAUUUAUGCAUUUGCACGUGUUAUUUUUUACUUUGGAUCUGCAUUUUUAAUAUUAGACAUAUCUAUAUGGAUUAUUUCCUAAUAAAUUCCACAGUAUUAUCAUUGAACGAAUUUUAUUUUACAUAUUUUAUUAUAAAAUGUAUUCUGUUGUUAAAGUUUGUAAUUUGCAUAAUUUUACAGUAAAAUGCCUACAUUAUUGGUGAAAUUAUUUCAUCCGUUUAAUUCCGAAAAAGAUGACAACUUAAUGAAAAAGAUUGAUACGAUGACGUAAAUUUUUUAAAAAGCCCCGGGUAUAUUUUACACUAUCCAUUUGUGUAACUGCAAUUGUAGGUGUGUAAUUGGGAAUUUAGGAUACAUCAGAUACUUGUAGGAGAUUAUUCAGUUUAUAUACAAGGAUACUGUAAGUUAUUGCGAACAAAAAACACUUCUGAAUGCAGCAAUACUAGUCGUGUUUUUAUCCUUAUCACCAUAAUAUUAAGUAAACAUAGGAAAAAACAAAGACUAAAAACCAAAAAGACGGACAAUGGACAACCUUUGCGCUAUGGACUGGCGGGCGGGCCACCGUUGUAGGUGAAAAGUUGAACAGGAAGAAUAUAGACGGGAAUUUAAUGUGUAUAUAUAUACAAAGAGUAAUCAUAGCCAACGAUAAACGAUACAGAUACAGACGGAAGUUCAGUUACACGUGUUUUAAUUCAACUUUUGAAAGGCCGUAAUAUUUUAGAUUUUCGUCAAAAUUUAAACAUUUUAUAAAAAAAAAAAAAAAAAAUACAACAUUUCACUCAACUUUGUCAUGUUGACUACUAAGUACGACUUAUACUGAACCUCCUGUUAAUUUUUCAAGUAUUUUUGUUUAGUCUUACAAUUUUAUUUACAGAGUAUCUAUUGAAUUAUAAUUACGUAAAAAACUUGUAAAAUUUAAAUGUCUAUAAAUAAUAAAAAACGGCUUAAAUUUUUUUGAAAAUUGUCAAAUGUCAAGUUUCUACCGACAUUUAUAACUAAAUUACAAUAAAAAAAAAAAAUUAAAAAAAAUAAAUGCAUUAUUUUCAGAAAUUUUCCUUUUGUUCCAACGGUUUUUCCCAAUGAUUAUAAAAUAUGCAUAGAUAUAACCUUCCUGAAGUACCAACUAUGUAAUAUUUCCUUUUAGAAAAGAUAAAAUUGAAAUGAUAAACUUGAUAAUUGGAGCAGGAUAUUCGGUAGACAUUUUGUACACAGUAUGUAAAAAAACAAAAAUAAACAUCAUCGUAAAACCAAUAUAUUACUCCGCUUCACUCAGAAUCUAAAAGCACUAGGUAUUGACGAUUUCAAUCAACGUGUCAAACGAAAUACUUAAGUCGUGAAAAUUUCACAUUAUUCGAGGUGAUUUGUGGAAGCCGUGUUUACCUAACGCAAAAAUUAUUUUCCCAGCAAGAAAAUGACACUGAUAUAUCUUAGUAAAACUAAUAUUGAUUUUUUUUUUUUCCAUCAAAAUCCAAUAAUAGUACAAUUAAAACAAAUAAUAAUUAUGAAUGUGCGAAAAAUAUCGUUCAAAAAUAUAAUAUAUAAUAUUUAAUGAUAUAAUAAUAUAUUAAAUAUAAUUUCAUAGUAUUUGGUCUACGCAAAUGUAUUUGCUAUCCGUAAAAAUAAUUGAAAACUUUCGGUUAAAAAUAGUUUUCAAAUUUUUUUUAUUAUAAUAUUACACACUAGGUACAAACUAAAUUUUAAAUUUCUAGCGGAACGACGCAGACCUAUUGCGUAGUUUUGUAAUUUUGUAUUUUUAUCCACAUAAAACACUUUCUAGGUGCGGUAAACAUUCUCGAAAAGUUUCGCGUGACAACUUUUUAAAUAAUUUAUCCAACCCAGAUGGUACUUUAAAGAGGUCAUAUGCCAAAUAACUCUGUGUCCAAAAUAACGCUAAAAACGGCAAAAAAUGCAAAACGAAAUACCUAAUAUUAUUAUUCUUAUUAUUAUAAGCGAUAUUUUAUGGUGGCAGUUUCUACUAACAUGUUUGAUUGUAAUAUUGACAAUUAAAGAAAAAACGGAUCGAUAUCCCGGUUAUGAUUUUCAUUCUCAGAAAGAAACGAUCGAAUUUGAAAAAAUUUUCUAUAGCCGUACCGAAGAUUGUAUUGGUUUUAUUAUAAUGUUGCUUGAUUUGUUGUAUUUAUGUGUGAAAACGACUUUUCUUUCACAGAUAUUGUCUGAUCAUCAAUUUUGGGAAAGAUUUCUGAUAAAAAAAUGUUGUCUAAUAGUUGCGAUUUUUCGGGCCAUUUCCUUUAACGGCCAGAAAAAACAAAGCACAAACGUCGGGAAAAAGAGCAAAUAUACGCUGCAAUAACUGAUUAUGGUAUUUUUUUUUUUUUAAUUCGAUUAGAAAUAGUAGUUGAGAUAUGAAAUUUUCAUCGCAUACUCAUAUUAGCACGUUCUAGUCGAAAUAAAAAGUGAAUAAUAUACUGGCGAUUUUUAAAUAAUUUACAGCUAUUUAAUAUAUUGUUGUGUUUUUAUGCGGUUAAAAUAGCUUUGGCCCAGAAAAAAUGCUCGAAAGUUUCGUCAAUUCAUCAUGACUUUUAUACUUAGCGGUAAAAUAGGUUAAAGUUGAGUUCUCUAAAAUGAUUUUUUAUAACCGUUCAAAUCGCAAAUAUUUAUGAAAAUUAAAAUUUGCAUGUCAAAACAUAUGUUUUAUCCGAACUUUAUUCUGAGCAGUUAAACAGUUAACGAUGAUUUAUCGUUGUGUGUUUGUUGGAUUUUCGCCGUAUUAAUUGAAUUGCUCUAAAGUUUGUGCUUUCCUUAAUUCUCACGUGUAAACAUUAUUUUUUUUAUAUUUUGUACAUUUAAUAAAGAACGUCGCGUUUUUAUAGUUUUUUUUUAUACUACGUUUAACAUAAGUAAAUAAUCAGUGAUUAUUUAAAAAGUCUUUCAAAAAAAAAAUAAAUAAAUAAAUAAAUACGUUAGUGUGCUGUCAAUUAUAUCAGUUUCGACAUUUUUCUCAUAACAUAUUGAUAAUAUCAAAAACAAGAUAAAUAAAUAAACCCUUCGAGAUCAAUUUAUCGACAAGUGGCUGCAUAAACUUAUUUUUGACCAUUUUUAUAAUACUACAAGAAAAUGUUAUGUUUACCGUGAAAUAAAAUAUAUAUAUACCUAUCUGCCUCCUACACUUAUCGAUAUCGUCAAUUAUUUCGGGCUAUACUGUUCUAAACGUUGAAUUUUCGGCACGCGUAUAUUAUUAUAUAUCAUGUCGUUGUGUCGUUUGCAUAUCCUUUCCACGGUGUAUUGAAAAUCGGGUGUAGCCUCAUAAAGCGACACUUAUACAGUGGCUUUUUUCGCGGGGGACGUUAAGGGUUGUGUCCUCCCAUCCCGAUUGGCAUAUAAACGCAACGAAACUACAAGCAUUUAUUUAGUAAUUGUUUUGAAAUUAUAUGAUUCAGUCAAAUUAUGGGGAAAAAUGUUCGAUUAAUCGAAUAUAGAUUGGAUUGCGUGAAUUUGACUUUUGAAAUCUCAUUGCCGGGAUAGAUAUAACAGACGAAGAUUUUGCGAUUUAUUUACGAAUCGUGAUCCGUACAUUCAAUGAAUCGCAUCUCAUUGACAAUUCCCGGACACCCCACUGCAUUUGUAAGUAGUAAUAAAUACAUUUUUUUAUUUUCGAUAAAAUUUCAUGAUAAUACAUUUAUAAUAAUCAUAGGGUUUAUAUUAGAAUUUAAAAUAAUAAAAUGUCAUGUGCCACCGAAAGUCGCCGAUUCGGUUUUUAUUCGUGUAAAUUCGGAAGCCACGGGGCGCGAUUAAACAUUUUCAUAGAAAAGUUAUUCAAAUUUGGAAAUAAAAAUUCUUCCAUAUUGCCAAUAAUUUUGGCGACUUAUCAUAAUAUAUUUUUACCCAUAUUAUUAUUUUAUCCGUUAAUGUAUAAUCGUUGUACGAUAACUAUUAUACGUAUAAUUUAUAUCAAUGGCGUAGUCGGAAUUUUUCAAUGAGAGGGUUUAGUUGGUUAAGGGGGGAGGGUAUAGGGGUCUACAGAUUUCUUAACGUUACUUAUGGCUAAAGUAAAUCAAUGGGGGGUGGUACAACACGCAAAACCCUCCUUGGCUACGCUUCUAAUAACGAUAACCAUUUGAAAAAACGCCUAAAGAAAAACCCUUUAUUAAGAUUUAUGUUUGGUAUUUUAUCGAAUUUAUGUAUAGACACGGGUAAAAAAAAAAAAAUAAAAAUAGAAAUAAAAAAAAAUCAUAUAAAUAUUAUUAAUAUAGAUUUUUGUGAUAUAAUAUUCUAGACUACGCAUUUAUUCAUUUAUUUGUUUUUUAUUUGUGUAUACAAAUGUUUUUAUUUAUAUAUAUGUAUUUACUAUAAAUAUUAUCACUCGAGUAGACUAGCCACGAAAUUGUUUUUGUUUUUCGUUGAGACAUUUAUAUCACAGAUUUUAUUUAUAAAUAUGAAGUGUAACGCCCGUAGGUGUGUGCACCGUAUUUUAAACUUCUACUAACUAUAAUAUUAUUUUUGCUUUGUUCUUUAUCAUUGUAUUUAAUUGUCAAUGUUGCCGUUACGCAUAAUGCGUUCGUACCUGUUUAUUAUUUCACAAGUGUGAAUUCUCAGAAUAUGGGUUGACCUAAAAUAAAUAAAAAAAUAAAACGUAACACCGAGUCAAAAAUUAUAUUAAAAUUUCCCUACUCUUUACAUUUGUACACAUUAUAAAAUUAUAUAAUCAUUCCUUCGUAAAAGAGCUACUUUUUUGUUGCCUAUACCCGUGUUUAUCCAUUAGUUUUACGUUUUAUUAUUUUUUUUUUUAAUUUAACGAAACGAAAUAACUGGGCUAAUGCAUCGGGUACGAGAUCACGAUAUAAUUUCCCAAAAUAUAAUAAAUAAAUGUUUCAACUGCAAUAUUCGGAUAAACCAGUGAAUAAUUAUUGUUUUUAUAUAAAAUAAAUAAUUAAUAUAUUUUUAACACCGAUGUUGUUUUAUUUUUUCAUUUUUUUGAACUAUAUACUUUCUGUAUUAUGGAGAAAACUUGUUUUUUUAUUUAUAGAGUGGGUCACACUUUGCAUAUUUAAAAUAUAAUGGUUAUGAUUGUUAUUUCGGUUUUUUACAUACAUUUUUAGUUUAAUUCUAAAGGUUGUCAACCUUAGAAAUUAGAGACAGUGUCAUUUAACUGGCAGUAAUGGCAUAAUUAUACACUGUUUACCUAAGUACUCCGAGACGUAGUGAUACGUAAUAUUCUUAAUGUUUUGUAUGGAGUUAUUGCGUUUAGACACGAUUAAAAUAAUGGCAGUGAUUUUGACUUUAAGUGUAUAGUAUUAAAAUUGUUCGGCAUUUAUAACCAUAGUACAAUACCGUCUCACGAACUUUUCUUUAGGUAUACUCUAUCUAUCGCCAAAUUCUUUUAAUUUGGUCCAUCUCCUAAUGCAUCCACGUUCUUGUUUAAUACAUAUUCCUGCCUCCUACUUUUAGGUCUUCCCCGUAGUUUUUCCCCCGUUGUGUUUUGCUCUGGCAAUGUUCGAAAGUAGUGGAUUAGUCUAAACGUAUAACCUAGCACAUCACGAUAGUCAUAUCUAUCUUCUUAAAUGCAAAUAUUAUGCAAAUAAAAUGUAUCUAUUUUUAUUUAUAAAUAUGUCAGUUGUAUAUGAAUAUAAGCGAUGAAUAAAAUAUGAAAAAAAAAAAAAAAAAAUGAAAAACGUAUAGAGAAAUAGUGUGAUCAGAUAUUGUUUUACGAGGACAAUUUUUUUUUUUAAAUACAAAGAUCGAAGUUCAUUGAUUGUCGAGGAAAAUAUUUAGUUUUUUAUGCGUUGUUCAUACUGCAAGAACGUAGUCAUAUUGCCUAUACAAUGCGCCGUUGUAACGUAAAAAAAAAAAGAAAAAGUUAAUAUUGUUAUUAUGCAGUCCUGAUAAGACUUGUGUCACCCCUUGUAGAUAGAAAUUUGGAAAGAUAUUUAUACAGUCUAGUUAGGUUUCGUAUCCAAAGCUACGGUUAUGAAUCGAUUACGAAAAACGGUUUUGUUACAUUUGAUAACAUUUUCGUAAGAAUUGGAACUUUAAACGAUUAUAGGUGGUAAACAAUUGUCAUUAAUUUGCGCUUGAUUUUUUUUUUUACUAUGAUGAAAAUUGUGUUAACAUUUUCGGUAAGGUUAAUACAAUUAUAUUCAAAUAAUACCAUGUUAAAACUAAAAAAUCUAAAACUUGAAAUAGCCAUACAUACUCAUAUGUAUAUAUGUGGCUUUAAAUCCGUCAGUAUGCUUUAAUGAUCAUACCAUUCCUAGAAAGGGCUAAAAUAGUUUUGUUCAAAUUCGCACUGAUAUGUGUGUGUUUAAGUGUUUAGUGAGAGGAAUAGAAAUUAUUGGGAAAACAUUACUCGGUUGAUGUUUAUAAUAUUUCUAAAGCUGAAAAACAAAAUGAAUUAAUUCGACAGGAACACAAAAAAAAAAAAUGAGUAGAUAAUUUGAUUGGAAAAUUAAUUUUUUUGGGACCCUAUGUUCCGAUGUGUUCAAUAAGACAGUAAUAAUCACUCGAAAAUAUAUUCGAAGAAGGCGGGAGGACGUUUGCAAAUGAAUUUCGGUAAACGUAUAAAUUAAAAGUUUAAUCACGAUAUAAUAUUAGAUUCAUCGAGCUCGUUGAAAUUUUGAAAUUUUAAACAUUUAAUAAUGAUUAUUCAUCAAACUUCAGUUUUCUUAACAUUAAUCUCCGCGCAGUAAUUAUUCAAAAUGUGUAAUUGACAAUAAUUAAUCUUAUUAGUCAGUAAAAUAUCCGUUUAUUGCUUUUCAACUGAUAUUUUUGGUACUGAACGAAUUUUUUUUUUUCCUUUUGAAAUAAUUUAUACCGCUUUAAAUUUGGCCGUAUUCCAAUAAGCGAUCUACAUAAUAAAUAUACAAUGAGUUGUUGUUAUUUUUUUUUCUAUCUAUAUAAAUAUACGUAUAUACAUGAAUACAAUGUUAAAAUACAGUUAUUUUUUUAUGUUAAACUUAGUUACGGUACAAAAAUUAAAUUUAUAUAAUUUUAAGUAGGAAAUAAAAUAUACUUGAACAUUUUGUUCGUAUUAUAUUUAAUGUAAAUAUGAUUAUAAUACGACACUGGUACUGUGCAAAAAUAAAAAUAAAAAAAUGUUUUUCCCGUUUCAGAUUUUGUGUAAUCGCGCGAAUUCCGUCACCAACGCCGUACGCGCGUUCGAAAAAUGUAAAAAUACAAAAGAACGAAAACGAAAAAAAAAAAAAAAAAAAAUGGAAAUUUAUUGUAUACAUGCGUAUUUUGUAUGCAAAAAUUAAUAUUCGCACAUUUUUCAUACAAAAAUAUAAAUAUUACGGUAAAAUACUAAAAUAUGAUAAUAUAAUAAAAUUAAUUGAGUUUUAUAAAGUGUGUCCAAUAUCUUGAAUCUUAAAAAAAAUCUUGUUUUGGUGUUGUUCCGAUGUAAUAAUUGUUUUAAUGGCAACCUUAUUAAUGACAAUAUCUUUUCACUUAACUACUGUCCGAUAACUCGCACUCAAAGGGUAAGACGUACGACUGUUUUUACGGACAAAUACAACGUUUCGGACCGAAAUCCCAGAGAUAAAUGUAAAGGUUAUUGCGGAUUUCAACAUUUCGAAAACGUACUAUGAUUUUGUGCAGGUUUUUUGCAUGGAUAGAUUAGGAAAAUUAGUUCUUUUUUUUUUUAAAACAAUUUUGCCGUAAUAGUUAAUGACAAAAGACUUAAAGUAAGUUUUCCGUAAUUGACCAUAAAACACGAGGACAUUUCUUGCUCGGUCAUAAUCCGUUUCACAACAAUUAAAAUCCAUCAAACGCAAUUCGCUAACAGUUCCGUCUGGUUUUUAAGCCUAAAUAUUUGAAUAUAUCAUCACCGGUGGCGUUUCUUUUUUUUUUUUUUUUUAAAUAUACUUACAGAGUAUAUUUGUAUGAUUUGUGAAUUUCCUAUAUAUUACCAUUGCGUAGCUAAUUGAGAUAUCCUGCACACACACACACUAUAUCUAGUAUAUUAUAAACUAACGCACUACGAAUUUACACAUUUGUCAUGUUACGAAAAACCUAAAUCAUAGUUUUUUAGUUUUACGCGCUUUUUUAGUACACUGAUACUAAAAAAAAUUAAUAAAAUCGUCAAAACUUACUAAAACUAAAUUGGAUUUUAAUACACACUUAUUCACACGAUCGAGUGAUUAUAAUUUCUAUUAGUAUAUCGAUUUUCAAUUCGGUAAUACUUUUCGUAAAAACGUAUUAUACAACUUGAGAAGUCGAAUAUGAUCGUAGAAAAACAACAAAACAAAAAGUUAAAAUUAAAAACUUAUUUUAUCCUUAUGCGGUUCUGUUUGUUUUGUCUUGUUUAUCUACAAUUCGAGAUAAUUAACGAUUUCAUUGAAAUAUUAUUAUCUUAUGCUAUUGGUAAUUUUUUUUUUUAAUUAAAAAUAUACUCGAUUUUUCUUCUACUCAAAAUGAAUUUCUUUAAACCAUUCUGAGACCGCGAAUUUUACGAUGUUAAACAUUUUUAUAUUCUUUUUGUACAUAAUAAUAUGAUUUAUUCAUUUAUAUAUAUGUAAACAAGAUACAUUUGUCUGCAUCUAUCAAAUUGUCAUUUUCACGAUUCAGCGAUUUUCACGGGUGACUCUAAGUGAAUUUUAUUUCUAUCUAAAUAUCGUUUAAAUAAAAUGAAAAUAAAAUGUAUUACUCUUGUAAUGUCUAUGUUUUAAACCGUUAUGUGCCGUAUGUACCGUUUACUCGAUAUUAAUAAUAGUAUGCUACGUAUGCCGACAUUUUACAGUCGGACAAACAUUCCCUAUUUGGACCGGUGUAGUGUAAGUAAUAUGGGAGAUUCUAUUUUAAAAAUCAUAUCAUUUAUCAAAUUUUUAAAUUAUAAUUUUAAGGUAGAGGCGAAUAUUUCAAUUUGGUUUUUAAAUAAAGCUUAUACAAUUCCGCAACAAUUAGAAAAAAAAAAAAACAAAGAGAAAUCAGAGUCACUUAAUAUCCUUUGAGAAAAACGGUAGUUCACGUUAAAUAAUUGAUCAACCUAAUCAUAUAUCUGUGGUUUACUGCGAGAUUGGCCAAUAUAAAAAAAUAUUACAUGUUUAUAAUAAUUAUUAUGAAUUUCGCGUUAGAUUUUUGGAAUAAUGGAAAUAAAUUUACUUUUUUAAACUUGCAAUUCUAAUUUUAUUUAUUUUUUCCUUUUGACAUUCCUCUUGUUUGGUACUUUUUACACCAAGCUGCAAAUAUGCCUAUUUAUAUUACAUAUUAUAAGUGAUCAAAUUGACAUAUAUAAGUACUUAACAUAAACUUCUUAAUUAUAUAAUUUUAUGAAAACGUACGAUAUUAUAUUUUAAAGAUAAUAUUGAAACAAAAAUAAUUAGUUUUUCGUGAAUUUAUGAAUAACCUAUUAAAUAAAUGCUACGAAAAAACAAUGAAAAAAAAUAAAGGACGAUAGGUUAAAGUGGUUUAUGCAAGUGCCAAAAAAAUAAAUUGUCGACAAUAAAUCAUGAUUGGCCAGAAUAAAAUAAUAUAGAGAAAAAAGUGAAUAGUUUAUAGUUAACUUUGGUUGUAUUUUAAUUUAAAACGCGCAUAGGAAAACCUUGUAUUUUUUUAAUUUAAUAUCUUUUUUUUUUUUUGUUUGAGAAACGAUAAAAAAAACCUAAAAUAAAACCGUGUUCGUUAAUAAAUCAUAUAAAAAAAAAUUACAUUCAACGAAAUACAACUCUGUUGUAUUAUCGUUCGAGAAUUUUUUUUUUUUUUGUUUAAAUAUUUCGUAAUAAAGCUUAUAAAUUAGCAGUAAUUUGUAUUCUUCAGGAUUUUUAUUUUCGAAGCAUAGUACUGAAAAAUUUGUUUGGAUAAAAAAAAAAUUAACCACCACCGUGCCGAAAAAUAUGUAUGUAAUUUGUUGAACAGUCUAAAAAUUGCAGAUUUAUAACAAUAACUACCAUAUGCGCUCGAAUUAAAUACCGUCCUUUAUUUCAUCGUUUCGCGACUUCCGAAUAUAUAAAGAAAAGCGCGAAUACUUUUUAAUUCGGAAACGAUGAGUAUUUUCAUUAAACUAAUGAAAUUCCCUCGAGAUAAGCGGCGUGGAGCGCAUUGAAAGACGGAAUAUACAAAUCUAGAAAUUACCAAUUCGAAAUCUUUACGGUUAUCGAAAUCUGAACCGUUAAGAAACGUUCAAAUCUAGAUCCUGGUUUGCAUCUAGCCACACAAAUAAUUGAUACUGAAAAAAAUUUCAAGUCGGAGAUCUACAUCAUUAAUUUCCCCCUAUAAAUACUCUACUGUUGUCAUUAAUUUGGUGUUUGAUGUCCUUUAUUAUGUUUGAUGUCUGCGGAAUAUAUUAAAUAUGUGAAUUGUAGCACAUGUUCAGUUUAUCAUAAAAUCAGUUAUUCUGAAUAGUAUAUUACUAUCUACUUUUUUAGAUUUAGAGCGUAGCGACGGAUCGAUUGAUUGUAUUAUAUGUAUUUUUUUUUUUUUUUUAUUUGUAUCUAAAAUGUACCAGAAAUCUUGCUUCGAUGUUUAGAGUGUAGCACCUUUUCCGGGAGAAAAUUUUAAUUUUAAACUCUAAUUAGUGUUAUUAUUUUUUGAUAUUCCGAUGGAUUUUCAUAAUAGUCGAAAAAAACCAAAAAAAAAAAUACGAUUUUUUUCAAAUUACUCCCCAAAUAUUUCACUAUUUAAUAUUUUUAAGAUUAUAAUUUUGAAUCGAAAAUCGUUGUCCAAAUUUCAAAAAUAGUAUUUUUUUGAAGACAAUUUUUUCUUGUUUGUAUGUAAGAAGGACGUUGAUUGAUUUCGAUCAAAUUUUGACAAAAAUUGUAGAAAUUACUGCGUUUUAAAAUAUGCCUUUACGAACUUCGCUCCAAAUCGGUUUUAGUUAGCUAUGGUUUACCUUUGCACACAGAUAUAAAUCAAAUAACUGUCUGAAGCCUUCUUUUGCAACUUUUCACCUUUAACGGUGGCUACAUCUGUUUCCAGCAUCAGCACUUUUUUUCCUUUUAAAAACGAAAAAAAACAAAACGAAACUUUAGUACAUAAUGCACGAACACGGUAUGAAUGAUAUUAAAGAAAAAACAAAUAGUAACAAUAAUAAUUGUUCGUGUAUUAAAAUACAGAUUUUUAAAAGUCAAAAGUUUUUCCGAUCUUAAUUAUGUAUUCGACUUUAUCCGUUCUCUUUUUGUUUUUGUUGUUAAUAUGUUUUUAACGUAGUACUGUUAAUAAUUUUUGUUCGCGGGAUUUAAAAGCUCAUCAUAUGUACGUACUUAUACAUUUGUAUUGUUACUGUCGUUCCGUUCCGUUUGUCGAUAUAAUAUUUGUGGGCGAUAUGUAAGCGGCUGUGACCACUUGACCCGAUCACCUACAUCGUCCUGGCCAAAGCAAUAAAGUAGGAAAAAUAUUUUGAGAGCAAAACCGCUCGUCGGAAACCAACCGGCCCGCGGUUUCUCCCGGGUAACGCUAUUGGGUCAAUCAGAAGUGGCAAUAAUUAUCGCACAACCGCAAUACGUACGUAUUGUGGCAAACCCACCGGCCACAUGUCGUGCACGGUUAGGGGUUACGAUUCACCGGGGUUAGUGUAAGUGGUAUUUUCGCUCGUAUAUAACCGGUUGACGUAUAAAACCAUCGCAAAUAUUGCAUUAAAAACGACGAGAAUCGGUUUUACUAGUCGCCUAAUGCCCGGCCGUCGAAAACGAUUAUUAAAUUUGUGAUUAAUUAUUAUUAUAAGAGUGUCGGAAGAGAAACGAAUAUUAUUCAUCAGCGACGACGACACGAAAUAAUAUUAUCAGUGGCGGCGCCGCCGAAAAACUCGAAUUUUCCGCCAAAUUAAUAACACUUGUGUAAGUAUAUUAUACUUAUAUUUGUAAACGAGCAUGUAUUAUAUAACUAUAGAUCAUUAAUGAUUUUUGAUUUUUCGUCGGUCCCAUAAUAUAAUCGAAUAAUAAUUUCAAACCUAAUCCGACCUUUCCGACCGUUACCCGCCCGCACACAUAGCCAUUUAUCACGGUUAGGUUAGUUUUGACGUAAUGAUUUAUUAUCUCGUUUGUGCUGCGAUAAAGAUGAACUAUAGUCACUGCUAAAUUAUUUCGCGAGUAAUUAUUAUAUUGGUAAGGUGCAGAGUUUCUCAACCCCCUCUACCACAAACCCACCGGCCAAGCUCUCGAUAAUAAAGUCUAGAGAUGUACGAAAGUAAAAUAUUCAAUUUGUUCAAAACGAUUGUAUUUGUUCAUUUCAAUUAUCAGGUAAUUUCGUUGAUUUUUAUGAGGUCAAAUGGGUACGCAAAUGACUAAAAGGUUAAAAAAAACAUUGUUUAACUGUAAUGUGAUGCGCUUUGUAUUCUCGUAUGUGUUUUUGUCUGCUCAAGUUUAAACUAGACCAAGAGAAGACCAGAGGAAAAACGUAUAUUCUGAAUUUUAUUCCAUGCCUUACUAGUCACGAACUCUGCGCAACCCACACAACUCCUUACCCCAUACUAUUGUGGAAACAACCUCGUCCUAAACUCUCACACGCAAAAUCACUACGCUACAUUGUAAGUACCUUCGUACCUUAACAUUUAAUGUAAAACCCAAACAAUUAACUGUAUUUGUGUUUAUUCUUAAAUAAAAGACUGAUAAAUUAAUUUCAUUUACAUCGUGUUAAAUUGUAUGCAUCGCUCAAAAAACGUGAUCCGUUCCAUAAACGUAAUAUUCGAUAAUCAUAGUUUAUCUAUUGAACAAUUACCACAUUUUCAUAUCUUUUAAUAAUAUUGUUAUCAAGGGGAUGACCUAAUUAAAGAUAAUUGAAGUCUUAAAUAUACCGACGUACGUAAAUAUUUUAUUUGUAAUAUGUGUAAGAUGAUUUUUUUGCCAUAACACUAUUCGUGAAAAUAAUCAAAAUAUUCGGUUAGUAUAUUCGCAUUAUUAAAGAAUUUUAGAUUCUGAAUGAAGCGAAUACAUUUUUAGUUUAACAAUGACGUUUAUUUUUUUAUUUUAUCGGUGAACAACUUUUUUACCAACAAUGUUUACAUGCACACGUGUAUAACUUCCGUGGUCCAAAUGACGUCCCUAGUUUUACUUGCCUUACAUAAUGUAGGAUGCUACUUUUUCAUUAAAAAUAUUUUCUUUAAAAUAAUUGUAUCGUAUACGUCACGCAUAUGCUUGACAUGUAUAACAGAUAUUUUCGGUUUCCACCCCCCCCCCUCCCCUGAAAUUUUAAAAGUAGGUAUAUAUUUACAAUAUGACAAAGACUAACUACAAGUCCACGUAUUAAAAAUAUUUUAACCCCUUCCCCCUGAAAAAUGUCCCUGAAUACGUGAUCGGACACUAAUGUACUAUACCUCAAUAAAUUAACCACGAUAACAAGUGCUGGAUGGGAUAUAACGAAAAACGUCGGCCUAUCAGUUACUGUACAUUUAUAUGCAAGUUCCUUCCUUGGACGCAUAUGACAUAAUUAUAAUUAAUAAUUGGCAAUAAUUAUAAAACGUACUUAUACGUGUGUAUACUUUAACACAUACAAAUAAUUAACACGAAACGAGCAUUCCGAAAUAUAACAAUAGUUUGUUUGAACAUUGACUGGGCCGUCCAGCCGGAAUUCCCGGAGAAGAAGGAAUUUCACAAAUACAUUUCGCUUCUCUAUUUUCAAUAAUUUUUAUAAAAUAACCGCGUCGGUGGCCCGUGACAGCAGCGCGCUGCUCCUGUUACGGCCGACCACCGCGUAAUCCUGAAUGGACGUACCUAUAUUAUAAUAUAACAAUAACAAUAUUAAUGUUGCCGGCGUUGACGUUCGCACAAAACAAUAUAAUAUGUUAAAACAUUUUGAGAAUGUUGUAGGUAUUAUUAUUAUUAUUAUUAUUAUUAUUAUUAUUAUUAUUGGCAGUCAGGAUUUAUUGCAAUUGUAAUUAAUAUUUUGUCGUUGUUGGAUUCUGAGUGCAGUGAAUUGCAAUUCUAUAUUCAUAGACGAAAAUAGUAUUUUAUUGUGUAAUAAAAAUAAUAAUAUAAAUGAUCGGUUUCGAUAAUUUGGUUACAACUCGAUUACUGUGCCGAUUCAAAGAAGAAAAUUUUUAAUUUAUUUCAUAUGUUUUAAUUACGAAUAUCGUUAUGUGUUAUGACAUUACACGCACUGCGUAGGCAUUGAAAAAUAUAUUAUUAUACUUUAUAUAUAAGUAUGAGUGAUAGGCACUGCACGAAUCCGAUAAUAUCGGAAACAAAUUACUGAAUAAAAAAUGUGGGCGAAAACAGUUACCCGAACAAAAAAGAUGUGACGUAAAAGAAUACAAAACAAACCUACUCAAUGAUGACAGGUUAAUUGAGUUGACAGCAAAGUUUAUCGAUGGAGUAUAUUUCUCGUCGUAUUAAUUUUAUGAGGCCAAACGAGGGAACAAAAUGUAGAAAUAAUAUGAAUGAAUAAACUGUAUAAUAGACUUAAUUUACAUAAAAAUCGUGUUUUUUAUUUUUUAAGUUAUUUACCAAACAAAACAGUAUUUCCAAGGCUGGGAACAAGUCAAUGAGUAUAACAAUAUUAACUCAGUUGAGGCAAUCGAGAAAGUGUUAGCGAUAGUUAACGCGUUAAAAGUCAACUGUUUAAUUAUAGCAUAGGCAAAAUUAUACAUUUUUGGUAUGAAAUAAAAAAAUCGGAACUAAUUUACUAUUUGAAUAUGAGUCUUCCACUAAAAACAAACACACAUCUUAGUAAAAUCAAUACAAUUUAUAUGCUACACUCAGAAUCUAUAAGCAAUAAUGGCUUACAAAUAAUUUAUUAUAGAAUAAUACUUGAUUAAUUUAUUACUGACAAUUUUCACAAUCGUUCUGAUAUUUUCAUGAAAAUACUAUUACUAAAUAGGCAAUCCAAAAAAGACAUACAUACAUCGCACGAUCGAUUGGCUACUGAUGUAGGUGAGAAUUUGGGAAGGAAGGAUGUAGAGGGAAAUUGAGUGUAUAUCUGUAUAUACGCAAGAUAAAUAAUUCCCAAUGAAAAACGAUUCUGACUUACACGGGUUUUGAAAGGCCGUAAUAUUUACGAUUUUCGUCAAGACUUGAUUUAAAAAUUCGUAUAAAAAGAAAAAAAUAACACACUAAAUCGAAAUUUAUUUUUUUGACCACUAAGCAAAACUUAUAAAACACUUUUUAAUUUCACAAGAAUUUCUAUUUGAUCGAACAGUUUUAUCCACAGAGUUCAUACUACAAAGCGAAUAAAGAUUACUUAAAAAACUCUAAAAAAUGUCUAUAAAUAGCUCAAUAAUACUUCAAACCUUUUGAAAAUGUUACUACAAGUUAUUUAAAUCAUUUAAAGUACCAACUAGAUAAAAUUUCCUUUCAGAAAAAUUGUUACAUUUAAAAAUCAGAUCUCUGGUAGGAAUGUCGUGGAAAAGAAAAAAUAUAUAUCAUUGUAAAACCAAUACAUUCCUCGCUUUGCUUAGAAUCUAAAACGAAUUUCCGAUUAUCCGGCAAAAGAGUUAAAUAUUCAAAAUAAUAAUAUUACGGUAUUUGACCUUUACUACGGUGCUUUUUGUACAAAGGUACUUAUGAACGUUGACCCGCAAAAUUGGUCACAUCCUCGGUGUCCUUACGUAGAUAAAAUAUAUAUAGAUUUUAUUUAAAGCAAAAUCGACGCGUGAAAAAAAAAGGUUUUAUGACAAACACGAAGAAAUAUAUAGAGUAUAAUAUUAUUGUGAAUUAUUGCUUUUCAACGAUUUAUUACGCAUGAAGAACUACACGCGUCGCUGAUUAAUUUUUAAUCAUCGGAAUAAUAUUCUUUUUCAACUUUUAAAAAUCGUUAUCAGCCAACAGAUCGAUAGAGUAAACUAAAAUAGUAGAGUUAAGAUAUUCAUCACAUGGUAUUUUUUGUUUUGCCUUACAAUUGCCGGAUUUGUGUAUUAUUAAUUAUCAACAGUUGUGUGGUUAUAGUGUUUGCAACAUAAUUUUGUAUCAAAAAAAAAAAAAAAACAAACAAACAAAAAUCAAGAGUAAAAAAUUACGGUUUCGGUUCCCAAUAUAAAUCAGUGCUGUCAUUGGAUCCGCUUCCUGUAACAUUGUAGUGGUCGGUGCGAUACAAAAUAAAAUUGUGAGGUCGGCCGUGGCAAAUGAACCAAAAGAUUUCAGACACUAUAUAGUCAAUUGGAGGAGGGCUGGAUGCAUUGGUAAAAAUAAAACCGUGGCGAAUUCGAGGGAGGAAUAACUAUAAUAGUAUACGUGCAAUAUUUAAAAAAAAAAUCAUAAUAAAAAAGAACCAAGACUUUAAGAUUUAACGGUCUGUGAAAAAUUCGAAGUCUCUGCAACAAACGUCUGAACGAAAAAAAAAACCCGAGUCAGAAAGAUCGAGUAGACUAGAGAAAAGUUUAUUAUGAGAUACACGUUACUUAACAUUAUUUUUGCGUCCGGCUUAACACAGACCAAAAACGAGACUCUGUAUUUUUAUAAGCUUUUUUUUUUAACUAAGUACAACACAGAAGUUAUUUUAAAAAAAAAAUUAAAUAUAAUUAAAAUAUUAUGAUUGUGACAGAUUAUUGUAUAUAGAAAUUCGCUCGAUCAUUUGCUUGCGAAAAUUACUUUGAAACUAGAUAAUUUUAUUGUUCAUAUACGUUUUUCAUUCACUUUUUUGGACAACUUUAAAACAUUUUAAAGUCAAACACAAUAUUUUUUAUCCCUUAUUUAUUUCUGUGAAGACAAACAUCAAUCAAUGAUAACACCGUCGAGCAUUUUGUAAAAUAUAAAAUUAUCCAAUCAGGAUUGCAAUAAUAAUAACAGUAUACGUUGUUUUGUUUAGAUGGCCAAAAAAAAGUGGAUCAAAAUGACUGUGGGCGACAAAUUUUAUUAUUUUCCUGUUGACUUUGUGGUUGCGGGAUAAUGUAUCAUGUUAACUCCUGGAGUAAAACUGAAACUAUGUUCCUCGGUUUCUCAUCUUUAUUGUUUCACGGUAGUUUACAGAAAUAUUUGGAAGAUUUAGGUGUGUUUUUAGAUGAAACGCAAAAUUUAUCGGAGAAAUGUAAAAAAUUAAAAGUUAGCGACGGUUUAGAAAAUAAAUAAUACAUAUAUAUAUAUUUUUUUUUAAGGGACUAUGCUUUUCAUGUGUACAUUUUUGAAAAUAUUUUCCCACGGUUAUAACCGUAAAAUCUACGAGAAAUCAUGCAAACCGAAUUUCGAGUUAACAUUUGAGAAUAAACCGUUUUGAACGGACCGAACAAUUUAGAAAAAAAAGUAUCGCACGCAGAUUUUAUAGCGCUUAAUUUGUUAAAACGUCUAUAAAAAAAAAGAAAAAAUAAUGUAAAACGCAAUUUAUAAAGUUUCAAUCUAUAUGAAUAACGAUAUAUUAUAGUUAUUGAUAUAUUUUUUUAUCGGGUAGAAAAUACGAAUGUUGAUAGGAGUUGAUGAUAAAAGUUAGCGGGCAAUAAUUAAAUUGAGGUCGUGAGUUAAAACUUUUCAUUUUAAGUAAAACAGCGGUGCACAUAAAUAUAAAUUUCGAUUGUUACCAAACUUGGGUUUAAUCGAAAAUAAUAUGAAAUCUUUUUUAUUUAUAACUGUUUUUUUUUUUUUUUUUUUUUUUAGGGGGAUUGAUUAUUUAAAGAAAUGUAUUUUGGCCAAAAUAGAAAAAAAUUCUUUAAAAGAUUCGUAUCCAAAAAAUUAAUAAAAAGAACCAAUACUGAGGAUGGAUAUUCCACUGUUAUUUAGAUGAGAAAUGGAGAAGUUAGAAUGCAUAAAUUUACUCAAUUUAUUUGUGUAUGCAAUGAUUUACUAUUGCUGACGAUAAACAAUUCUGAGCGAAGCUCGGACUCACAAGAUUUGAAAUGAAUUUGAAUUAAUUUUUACGAUUUUCUUACUUAUCUAGUAUAGCAUCUUUUCUGAAGGGAAAUCUUGUUAGUCGUUUAAUAUUAAAUUUUUGUUUGGAAAAAACUGUAAUACCCAAUUCUUUUAUAAAAGUCAUAUUUCAUAAAAUAUUACACAGAUGUAUCACGGGCACACCAAAAGUUGGUAUAUUUUCUGAUUUUCAUAUUCAUAAUGAACGAACACAAUUUCAGUAAAUAAGAUACCUUAUAUACGAGCACUAUGAUAAUGGAACCGGGAUUUUUAAAAUACCUAUUAGCCGUAAUGGAAGUCUGGAGAAGAAUGUCGAAAAUGUAAUUUCAUUUCAAACCCAACCUAAUAUUUUACUAUAGGCUUUAUGACCGAUAUAAAAAAACAACAAUAGAUGGAAAAAGAAAGAGCUAAUAUCGCCGACGGUUGGGCCACAAUUAUAUAGGUGGGUAGUUGAAAAGGUAGAAUACUUUGAAUUAGGUAAUUUAUAAAAUAUAAAAUUUAAAAUAUUUUGUAAGCUAUGAUUUUAAGCGAAAUUCGGUUUAACUACGACUAUGCAACUAUGUUUUUUUUUUUUACGACAAAUUAAAACGUAUGCUCUGAAAUUCGUGUUAAACUGUCAAGCAUUUUCGUUCGUCCAUACAAUUUAUUUAAUUGAAAAAAAAAAAUUAAUUAAUUCCGAAAAAUCGGGAAGAAUUUACUUUUAUAUAAUGAGCAUUUUUGAAUUACAUAUAAUAAUAAUAAUAAAUUUGUAUAGGUGUACUCUUUUUCUUCAUUUUUUUUUUUUUUUUUAUUUUUUUUUUUUUUACAGCCUAAUAUUAUAAAAUAUUUCUUCGACAUCGUUCACGAUGAUGAAUUUGUAAAGCGGCCUACAGACGCUUUAUAUAGGUAUUGUGUUUUGCGAAAAAUGUAUAGAGAUAAAAACAAACAUUUUUUUUUUUUUGAAGCGUACAAUGAAAACCAUGCGGUCCGAACUUCAUGUUGGACGAACAUCUAUGUGACUAUAUAUAUAUAUAUAUAAUAUAUACGGCCCCUAUGAUUAUGCUCCGUGUUUUGACUGGGUUCAUUCACAAUGGAUGAUUAUGUUCGCGGCGCGGUUACCGGUUUUCGUCGAUUUAAUCAUAUAAAUAUUUUACGCGUGAGUGUGCACGAGUUGUAUGAGUACAAUAAAAAUUGGCAACAUGCGUAUUAUAAUAGUAAAAUCGUGUAAUAUCUAUACAUUACAAUAGGUGAAAUAUUAUGAGUGACUCAUAAUGAUGUUAUGAUAAAUUUAAAAAGAAAAAAGCUUUUUUUUUUUUUUCGUCGAAAUUCUGCUAAUAUUGCGAAAUGCCAACAGUGUCAGAAUACAAAUAAAAUUAAUGCAGUAUUUGAUCCGUUCGUCGGUUUUUUGUCAAUAUUAAUUAACUUUAAAAUAAUUUAUCUUUUUAUCUUUAGAAAUAUCAAAAAAACAAAAAAAAAUGUAUGAAAUAUUCGACAUGGUGUAGUUCUAACACUAUACGCGAUAGUAGUUGUUAACUUUGUAAUUUUAUAUUUCCGAAAACCCAUUUGAACGAAAUUAAAAUAUGUAAUUUACGGUACAUAAUCCAUGUGCUGGCUGUCAGUAAAAAUUACGGGUGAAAUGAUAUUAUGAACGCCAGAGUGAAGUCUAUUUAAAUCACAUGCGUUGAACUGUAAUAUGUUUUUCACACUUUGAAACUGAGUGUUAAUAUUUUUAGACGUGCUAUCUCCUCCAUUUAAGGAAUUUCGUAAAGUCAAUUUUCUCGAAGUUUUUUAAAAAAAGGAUACUUAAUUAUUUCAAAUUUUGAAUUCAUUUCCAAAUACGUCUACAUGCAAGUAGUCCUAUAUCAUUAUUACUAAUUUGUUUUUGUGUUAUGAAAUCGAUAAAACUGUAUACAAAAAACCGUUAAACGUGAGCAAAAACUACUGGGGAAAUGGAUUUAGUUAAGAAAAAACAUUUUUGCCAUAGAACAAAAUGAACUUGCACUGUGCAAUGUUACUUGUAGUUUUUCGAUACCUGUACGAUGAAAUAAGUUAUUCAAGUUUGAGAUGUUUAAAUUACCAAAUUUGUGAAAAUCAAAAAUAAAAUCAACGUUGUCCUACGCAAACUCUACAUUCCCUAUUGUGGUAGAAAUCGUAUUUAAAUUUAAGUAGUUUUUCUCCUGCGCCACAUAGUCUUACAGAGGGGAGGGGGUACUACGCAUUUUUAAUAUCAAGGGUACUUAACGAAUAAGAUAAUUUUAAAUUAUGAAUUCUGUAUUAUUUACAAACGCACAAACUUUUUUUUUAAUUCGAAUUUUAACUAUUUCAGUAUUAUUGUGAACCCACCCACGUAGUGUAAAUCAAAUUUUAAGAAAAUAUAUUUUAAGGUUUAUAUUGUUUACCUACUCUUUAAAAUAAUCCUGCGUCUUAAGUACAUAAUAUUUAUAUUUUUUUUAUUUGUCAACGGUUACUGUUACGGUUGUAAUUUUUUACACCGUGUACAUUGGCUAAUAUUAUUAUGAUAAUAAUUCAUACAUCAGAGAUAAAUAUAGAUUAGGUAAAUGAAUAAUGGGACAUUUUUGUCAUGAAAACCGAAUUCAUUAUUCAAACUGUCAGAUGACUAAAAAGCCGAUUUACGAAUCAAACAUUUUUCAAAGUUAUAUCCAAUUAUUUCGUGUAUGCAAAUUUUUAGAUAGGGACAUUGAAUUUUUUAUUAUUUUAAUAAGUAUUGACAUUGGCAUUUGUUACGUCACCGUCAAACUGAAUAUUUUUUUAAUUAUUCUAAACCUUUCAACUAAAUAUUAAAAAAAAAAAAACAAAAAAAAAAAAUCUAGGAAAAUAUCUCUUAAAUAUGUAAAAUAAUAAAAAAAAAAAAGUCGAAAAUGCACGCGUAUAGGCCACUAUAUUAUUGAUAACAGAUCGGUAAUCGGAAAUAUAGUAAUAUAGUUUAUGUACAGAGUGAUUUCGUUUAAAUGGUGCGUGCAACGAUAAAUCGUUGUAAACGAAAAACGAUUCUGAGCGGUGUAUUAGGCAUGUCUUCCUGGCGAAAACCAUUGAUAUUAAAAAAAAAGAGCAAUUUUUCGGAAAAAUUAUUCGAAAUUCCGAAAACAUUUUUCAAAUAAAGUACCAUCAGGUGUUACAACAUUCACACCUUUUAAAGUACGCCGUAAGAAAAAUAGAGAAUUUUCUCUAACCGUAAAAGCGGCGUUCAAGAGAAAAAUUACACAUCUUUGUAAAACUAUUUAAUAGCUUGUUCCGUUAUAGUCAUAAUCAAAAAACGGAAAUAACCAAUCCUAUUGGUACCUAUUUCACAUGCGUGUUUUCAGUGUAUACAUAUGUACAUAGUUUCUACACGAGGAUAGUAAAUGUUUGGACAGCUUCAUAAAACUCCUUUGGCAAAAGUUUUGUAAUUUUGCAACAGUUGUUAAUGAAACAAAUCAAAAACACUUUGGUUAUAUAGUCCUGUUUGAAACAUUAAACCCUUAUAAAAUAUUUGCCAAACACAAUUACAACGAUUUGUAUUUAUUUAUAUAAUAUGCAUAUCGUACUAUUUAUCAUAUCCAGCGAAUACAAAAUAAACACUCAUCGGUUACAUUUUGAUAUUGUUGAACGUUAAGUGUGUCCGCUAACAAAUAUUGAUAAUAUCGUCAGUAAAUUCUCGUAGUAAAAGUCAUUGUGACAUUCUUACGAGAAUAAUGAUAUUUUAAUCAAUAGGAAUGUCGAAUUGUGGUCCCAUUUAUUUGAUUUAUUAUUGUAGGAUGUAUUUAUUUUUUUCGAGAUAAUUAUUUUUGUCAAUUAUUGCAGUCACUUUUGGCUUAUUGGUUUUAUUGUUAAGAAAAAUGAAAAAAAAAAAAAAACAACAAACAAACAAGAACAGAAACAAGAAGCAAAAAAACAAAACCCAUUCAUUUAGAGGUGACGGUAAUUUUUUUUUUACAACAUUUUUAAUAUUGUAUACGAAUACGAAUGUAUACAUUAUAUUUUAAUGAAUAUUAACGGAUGAUGAAGUAAUACAACUAACAAAAUACUACGUAGGUACGCUUAAAAGAAAAAGCUUCUGAAAACCAUUUUAAUUAAUUUUAAAUAAAAAAAAAUGCGGAAUUCGUUUGGCCAAUCAUGCACUGUAUCUAAGUUUGUUUCCCCCUUGAGGACCGUUGGAAAUUAAACGUAAAAGCAUUUACCCUUUGGUAGGUAAUUGCCUUUGCUGAGACGGUAAACGGCGUAAAAAUAUAAUAAUAAUAAUACACCGAACCGUUUUGCCAGGUUAAUAAUUUCCAUUCAUUAUUAUCAUUAUAUGUUCAUCAAAAGUCGGAAAACAUUGAUAAAUCAUUUCGCCAGACAAAGAAACAUUGAUUGGGUGGUGGUUUUUUAUUUCCGUAAUAAAUUCACGCCGCGUAAUUACGCCGCGUUAAUAAUAUUAUGAUUUGCCGAUGCGUUUAUUGUUAAAUCCUCGGCAUGUUUCCACGCGAAUGUCAAAUAUGAAGAAACAACAAACGUAUGUACGGGGGGGAGGGGGGGGGGAGACUGAAAAACUUAGAAAAGAAUAUAAGAGAAACCGCCUUUAUUCCGCACGAUAUUAUAAUAAUAAUAAUCAUAUCUGUAAAGUAUAUUACGGCGCAUAGCGCGAAUCCGAAAAACCGGGGCGUGUGUAAAAGCAAAGUUUGAGCGAACGACAGAAGCCGGGUGAAAACACUGUACAAAGGUAUAAUAUUGCGCUACGGCUAACAAUAAAAUGCGCAUAUAAUAAUCCUCGUAGGAAUGUUUUUGUCGACUUUGUAAUCAGAAUUUCAUACGACGCACCUACAAUAGUAAUAAUAAUAAUAACAUUAUUAUUAUUAUUAUUUUUGUUACACGCUUAUAAUGCAUCCUCGAUUCGUUUGUUGUACGAUUCGAUAAAGGCGAACCGAACGGUCGGAAGGUGUGCGAGUAACCGUUUCGCAGAUCAGACAGUCCGGCCAGUUUCCAUACAAUUUUUUUUUUUUUUUCGAUUCUGAGCUCAGAGAGCGCUAUUCAUUUCUAUUGAAAUUUAUUUUUUUUUUUUAGGGGAGGGGGGUGCGACAGUAAACAAUUUGUUUAAAAACAUGUAUAUCCGUACAUUAUAAUACGUACGUGUAUUAACCAACUUCCCCUUAACAGCGGCCGUUUUGAACAAUUUUUUUCAAAAUUAUUUUCUUUAUUUUCGCAGUUGUUCUAUUAAACAAUUUCACACUAUUACUUUUCUUAUCAGUCUUCCUUACUGUUUUUUUUUUUUCAGUAUUUAUUCUUUGAAUUAUUUUACAUUAUUUUUUUACCUGUUUGUCGUGAAUUUUUUGGCCAAAACUGUUUAACAUGUACAAAUCUGUCGUCCGCAAUAGUCGUGUAAUCGUUGCUUCGUUUCAAACGGCGAACGGUUUAUUUUUUAAAAAUCACGAAAAAAAAACCGCCGUGAGUUCCCCGCUACCAAUAGAAAAACAAACGGAUGAAGAAGAGACGUAGUUUGUAACUCACCAAUGUUAUACCAGACCUGUCUCGACUAAUUUCCAUUGAUAUUCGAAGUUUUACAGUGUACUUUUACAUCCCCGCAAAGUGCUUAGGUUUUGAUUAAGAAACUACUAAAAAUACAAGUUAUAAGUACCCAUAUGUCAAUAUGCUCAUCAAAUAUUAUGUUUUUAACUUUUUCCCCGAAUUCAUACUAUUUUAAUAAAAACCAAGUACACUCUGUUUGGAAGCUUCGGUGAUAGGUUGUUGACCCGACACAGGAAGUCAAAAAGAGCCCCACGCCGAAUCUGAUACCCUCCGAUGCGUGGGGAGUACAUAAUUGAUUUUACUGCAGUAAAGAUUGUGUUUAUUGUGUCUCUUUAAACAACUUUUCUACCAGAACUCUUACUCCAAUCAUUAAAGUGGAUUCUCAAAUGGAAUUUUGUAUAUUUGAUACACAGGCAGAAUUAUCAUAGGUCAAUUAUCGAUUUUUUUUUUUUAUUAACUGAGCAUUUUAUUUAUACUAGAAAAAUAUGUGGGAAGAACGGGAAAGUUUACGAUAUUUACGAUUACUUUAUUUUCGAUUUUGUUGCAAUUCGAUUAAAAAUCUUCGAUAAAACCUGAUAUUUUAACAGAAAAUUUAUUUUAGCCCCUUCUAGACUAGCUAAAGGGUUAAAAUUUUUGUGAUUUUUGAAAAAAUCUAUAAGCUUUUAAUCUUUUAAAAUUUGAUUUUUGUUUUUAUUAGGUUUUAUAUACAUACAAUUGUUUGAAAGAACAGAAACAUUUGAAAAUUUAACAUGUAGUUCAUUAUAACUUAUACGUAUUGAUCAAUUUACCAUAAAUGUACUAGUGUAACGGUAUUUUAAGUUCAGUUUUGAAAUUUCAGAAACUUUCAAACCAUGUUUAGCCAAAUUUCAUGAAGAGUCGUAUUUUAUCAGAAAUGAUUUACUGUUGCGCACAGAUAUAAUUUAAAUAACUUUUCAUUUUUUAUAUCUUUACUUUCUCCAAGUCAAGGUUUUUUUAUUGGAUUUUAGAAAUACUACUUUGUUAAAAGUUUAUAAACAUUUCCCAGCAUUCAUUGGUAUUAAUAUUAAAGUAUUGUCUCAAUGUAAUAUUAUACUUUACGACAAUGCCGAAUUUCAUCAGAAUCUCAUGAAAUUAAACAUAUGAAAACAAAUAUUUAGAUACACACCAAAUUUGUCAUCGCAGGCUUACAUUUCCAACCACUCGCAAUAUCCAGCCGUAAUACAUUAUCAUAGGUAAUAGCAAAACGAGGGUGUUAAUGAUGUAGCGAAACCCCAGUGUGCAAAAUCCUAUGUUAUAAAAGUCACAUAGUUAUCACACUGAUACUUGUGAAGUUAAAAAUAGGUACCUCUUUACUUUUCAGAGAUUUUAUAUGGAUGCCAAACGCCAGGUUGAGCAAUAGUACAAAUGCGGUAUCAAAAUGUGAUUACUAUGGGUAGUCAGUAAAGCCUUUUAUUGUACCUAAGUAUAUUGUCCCAACUACCUAUGAACUACACAAGGGAAUCACCUAUGAUACUGCUAUAGAACAACCCACUUAUGACAUAUUAUACCAAUCACCAACUACUCAUAGACGACUUAUAGAAAUCAUAUGGUAUACUAAAUGAGAACAGCUAUGUGUUGACACAAAAUAAUUUCCAUUAGAUGUUAAAGUUAAACCCUUUACAACUAUUAAUUAUAAUACGUAAAAAAUGUUUUAAACUUAACACAUAUAAAUUAAUGUAAUGGAAGAACAGUGUAAUAAUAAAUAAACGCGGACUGUGAGUGCAGGAACAUACAAACAGCAAGACAUCUAUUGGAUUGUCCAAUACUACCAGUAAGAGAAGAGAUCGAGGAUUUUAUAGAACAACAAUCAAAGGACAAUACAAUUAAAAUUGCUGAUUUCUGGAAGAAGAAAGGAAUUUAAAAAUCUACCACUGACCGACGC